Molecule: ribosomal RNA, 1362 nt
Filed under: uncultured bacterium
Lineage: Bacteria
Description: partial 16S ribosomal RNA
Rfam family: Bacterial small subunit ribosomal RNA
Source: RNAcentral
GAUGAACGCUAACUACCCGCUUAAUUCAUGACUGUCAAGGGGCACCAUGCCAAAUUCUUGCUUCUUCUGAUGGCAACCGGAUCCCGACUGCGAAACGCUUAUCAGAACUGCCUCCUACUCGGGGAUAGCCUUGCCAAUGUAACAUUAAUACCCGAUGUUGUUAUGUUCCCGCACUGGAGAUAUCACCAAAAAUUUAUCGCUUUCACAUGUUGAUGCGUCCGAUUACGUAGUACGCCGGUAUAACGGCCCACCUAACCUUCUAUCGGCAAGGGUUCUGAGAUGAACGCCCCCCACACUGUUAACUGAAACUCUAUCCACACUCCUACAGGAGGCACCUGCGACGACUAUUGCUCUGUGCACGAAAGUCUGAACCUAUCUCUUAACGUGCCAGAGGACGGCCCUCUGUGUUGAAGACUGCUUUUAUGUGUCAAUAAAAAACACGAGCUGCCCUCUAUGGGAUGUACCUUCACAAUUCGGACCAGCUAAUUCCGUGCCAGCAUCCUCCCCAAUACGGAAAGUCCAUGCGUUAUCCGCAUUUAUUGGAUUUCAAGACACCCUACGCCUAUUAUUCAUCCAUUGCUGAAAGACCGUGGCUCAACCCUUUUAAGGCAUUGAAACUGGUAUUCUUGACUGCAGAUAGGGAUGCUGGAACUAGUGGCGUAGCGGUGAAAUGCUUAGAUAUCACGAUGAACUCCGAUCGCGAAGGCAGGUGUCUGGGCUGCAACUGACGCUGAGGCUCGAAAGUGUGGGUAUCAAACAGGAAUAGAUACAGUGGUAGUCCACACAGUAAACGAUGUAUACUCGCGGUUUGCGAUAGACAGUAAGCCGCCGAGCCAAAGCAUUAAGUAUACCACUAGGGGAGUACGCCCGCACCGGUGAAACUCAAAGGAAUUGACGGGGGCCCGCACAAGCGGAGGAACAUGUGGGUUAAUUCGAUGAUACGCGAGGAACCUUACCCGGGCUUGCACUAAGAGUGACGAACCUACAGAUAGAUUUUUCUUCCCACACUCUUGGAGGAGCUGCAUGGUUGUCGUCAGCUCGCGCCGCGAGGUGUCGGCUUAAGUGCCAUAACGAGCGCAACCCUUUUCCUUGGUUGCCAUCAAGCAAUGCUGGGCACUCCAGGCAUACUGCCAUCGUAAGAUGUGAGGAAGGAGGGGAUGACGUCAAAUCAGCACGGCCCUUACGUCCGGGGCUACACACGUGUUACAAUGGGGGGUACAGAAGGUCGCUACCGAGGCGACAUGGAUGCCAAUCUCAAAAACCUCUCUCACUUCCGAUCGGAGUCUGCAACCCGCAUGAGAGAAGAGGGAUUCUCUAGUAAUCGAGCAUCAGCCAUGGGGCGGUGAAUAAGUUCCCGGUCUG